Molecule: ribosomal RNA, 467 nt
Filed under: uncultured bacterium
Lineage: Bacteria
Description: partial 16S ribosomal RNA
Rfam family: Bacterial small subunit ribosomal RNA
Source: RNAcentral
ACGAACGCUGGCGGCGUGCUUCACACAUGCAAGUCGAACGGAAAGGCCCUGCUUUUGUGGGGUGCUCGAGUGGCGAACGGGUGAGUAACACGUGAGUAACCUGCCCUUGACUUUGGGAUAACUUCAGGAAACUGGGGCUAAUACCGGAUAGGAGCUCCUGCUGCAUGGUGGGGGGUGGAAAGUUUCGGCGGUUGGGGAUGGACUCGCGGCUUAUCAGCUUGUUGGUGGGGUAGUGGCUUACCAAGGCUUUGACGGGUAGCCGGCCUGAGAGGGUGACCGGCCACAUUGGGACUGAGCUACGGCCCAGACUCCUACGGGAGGCAGCAGUGGGGAAUAUUGCACAAUGGGCGGAAGCCUGAUGCAGCAACGCCGCGUGCGGGAUGACGGCCUUCGGGUUGUAAACCGCUUUCGCCUGUGACGAAGCGUGAGUGACGGUAAUGGGUAAAGAAGCACCGGCUAACUACGUG